Molecule: long non-coding RNA, 209 nt
Filed under: Panax ginseng (ginseng)
Lineage: Eukaryota; Viridiplantae; Streptophyta; Magnoliopsida; Apiales; Araliaceae
Description: long non-coding RNA (PGIN_LNC006101)
Source: RNAcentral
GUAAUCAACGGUUCAGGCAAGUUUUCAAGUUUUUCUUUUUACUUAAACUCUUCUACGAGUAGUUUCAGUCAGAUAUGCAUAUGAAUUGUACUUUGUACAUAUUGCAUGUAUUCAUCAAGUAUGAAAGGCUGAUCACCUUCAUUACCAGUCGUUCCAGAUAUAAUUGUUAUGUCCAUUUUCAAUGUUCAUUCAGCUAUGAAAUUUUGUUC